Molecule: ribosomal RNA, 497 nt
Filed under: uncultured bacterium
Lineage: Bacteria
Description: partial 16S ribosomal RNA
Rfam family: Bacterial small subunit ribosomal RNA
Source: RNAcentral
GAUGAACGCUGGCGGCGUGCCUAAUACAUGCCAGUCGAGCGAACAGACGAGGAGCUUGCUCCUCUGACGUUAGCGGCGGACGGGUGAGUAACACGUGGAUAACCUACCUAUAAGACUGGGAUAACUUCGGGAAACCGGAGCUAAUACCGGAUAAUAUAUUGAACCGCAUGGUUCAAUAGUGAAAGACGGUUUUGCUGUCACUUAUAGAUGGAUCCGCGCCGCAUUAGCUAGUUGGUAAGGUAACGGCUUACCAAGGCAACGAUGCGUAGCCGAUCUGAGAGGGUGAUCGGCCACACUGGAACUGAGACACGGUCCAGACUCCUACGGGAGGCAGCAGUAGGGAAUCUUCCGCAAUGGGCGAAAGCCUGACGGAGCAACGCCGCGUGAGUGAUGAAGGUCUUCGGAUCGUAAAACUCUGUUAUUAGGGAAGAACAAAUGUGUAAGUAACUAUGCACGUCUUGACGGUACCUAAUCAGAAAGCCACGGCUAACUACGUG